Long non-coding RNA from Parus major (Great Tit), 2489 nucleotides. RefSeq lists it as uncharacterized. Lineage: Eukaryota; Metazoa; Chordata; Aves; Passeriformes; Paridae. The transcript is spliced from 2 exons. The record is from RefSeq and is a predicted model, not a curated record.
CUGAGAGCACAACUGUUCUUACAAUGCUCCUCAUCUCCUGAAGUCUUGAUGUCUGUGAGUUAAUGCCCUGCCUUGUGAAAGGACUGCGUGCUGAGGCUUAAGAGAAGGGCUUCUCUACAUGCAGUGUCAUCUACUGGUGGUAGCCCAGGUCUUGGACUGUAUGACAGUGGAUUGAAUGGCAGACAGGCAAAAAACAUGGAGUGCGAAAGGGAACCCAUUUCCUCACCCCAAGGGAGAAUGUAAUUCCUUUCUCAUUCCAGCCUCCUGCUGCCAAUGUGGUGCUUGGGUUCCUGAAACAAAACAAUGCGACAGUUCUGUGCUACAUCUGCUAACAUCAUUCCCUGUGGCCUCCAUAAUGGGAGAGAAAAUGAAGUUAAGAGCCUUCAAACAGCUCAUUGCAGGACAGCUGAGCAAACAUUCUUUCCUGGACAUAGUUUAUGAAAGAGGACAAGGCAACUUGUAGACUGGUUUUCAAGCAAGACUUAUUUCUCUGCUGGGAAUCCAGUAGGGAAGAAAAAAACCUGAUGGUUUUCACUGACAGUUUAUCCAACUCUUUUCAAGUGCAUGACAAACAACUGUGCCCUCUUCAUGAGCAGUAUGUUUUUGCUGUAUGAAGUUCAGUGGACAUUUGAAAGGAUGUAACUUAUAUAUUCUCCAAAUUAUUUUAGAGCUAUGAUGAGUGAGGUGUGUGAUGAUAGACAGGACUUAUUACAGUGGACGAUUUCUUAUAAUGAGAGAAAAUGCUAUAUGAGCCUGCAAAAAAGUUAGACAAUUCUCUCUCAGUUUGCUACUUAAAAGUUUUGUUUCCUAGAGUGAAGCCAUUGAUAUUGGAGAUCAGUGUAAAUAUGAGCCAUGAGGAACAAUAGCCAUGGUGACUCACACUUAUCCAAAAAUGCUACAUCAUCAUGUCCAAGUCCAAGAUUUGAAUAAGAACAAUCAAACAACAAAAUUUUUUGUAGCAGAAAAGGCUUCAGUUUGUGAUAAAUAAGAUAUAGGUUUAAUAGCAAUGUCUGAACUGCUGGAAACCUGCAGUAGAUCUUUGGAGAGUAUAAAGUAGGUUGUUCCUCAUGGUUCUCUGCCACUGCUGUAAACCAUCUGAGGUAGUGCUAUUUUAACUUUUCCAUUGCUUGACAUUUUCUUAUUUUAAUUGUGUAAUCUCUGUGUUGGACUGAAUUCCGGCAUUAAGAGCUUCACCACCCCCUCUUUUGAUUGCUUCUUUUUAAAGCAAGAAGAAUAAAAUUAAUUGCUUCUGAUCCACCACAAUGCUAAUUUCAUAGUCCCAAGUGGGACCUCACCAAGGAUGAACUGCUGCUUUUGCUUUCUGGCUGGAGACACUAGACAGGGAUAAUAGAGAAGUACAUUCUGUUUCAGUGGACUGGUUGUUUCCUGCAGCAGAGAAUGAUAGAAGUCUAUUUGCUGUACAAUUACACUGUGGCAUUUUCAGGUUGCAAUAGCAUCCCGCAAAGGCUGAGAAGAAAGAAAUAAUUUCCGUGCUUGUAUGUCUCACUUUGCUAAGUGUGUCUGUGAAAACAGUUGGCCUGCUGCCUCUUUGCUCCUUGAAUCUUCGUUAGAACAUCACACUGAUGUAACAAACUUAGCAAAAUCAUUAAAAACAGCUUGUACACUGCAUGGCCUUAGAAGAGAAAAAGAAGCAGUGAUAGAAAACAGGGCUAGGAAUAGUUAGGAAAUGCUAGCAUUGCAAAGGAGCCACAAUUACUGCAUUUAGAUGUAGCUGUCUAUUUGUUAUUUCUUUAAGAAUCAUAAACAAGAAAGCAACUAAAAGUAUGAAUGUUUUUCUAUAUUAAAAAUAAAUACAUUCUACCUUCAAUUAUUUCUACAGAGAAGACUAGAAAAGAAACUUUGACAGUAAGUAAAAGUGUUUUGCCCUUCAAUAUGUCAGAAAAAAAUAGGAGGAAUUAUUCUUUAAAAAACUCCUAACACUGUAUUUUAAACAGAAUAAAGGAUGUAUAUAAGAAGUAUUGUUUAAUGAACAUUUAAUGCAUCACAUUGAGUUAGGGGCCUAAAAUCAUGCUGCUGACUUAGAAAUGUUUAAGCUACUAAAUUUUAUUUAUCUUUCUGAUUUUUGUACCUUCAUGACCCAAUUUUUGUAUCAAGCAGUGUAUUGAGCAAAUCAGGAAAAAUAUUUUUUUCUUCUGAAGCUGAUUUUUCUGAUAUGAUCUAUUGACAUAAACAAUCCAAACCUGUGAAACUUGCCAGUAAAUUAAAAGGUUGAACAACAAGAUUAUAAGAAACCUUGUCUUGACUACAACUAAAAUUGGAAUAGUUUUCUCAUUCAACUAUGUGAGUUUUUCAAAUAAGUUUUAAAGAAUGUAAAGAUGUACUAGAUGCAAAUGAUGGUGUGAAAUUUCUUCUUGGCAUAUAGUCUCCAGACAAAGAACAAGACACAGAAAUCUAAUUGCUUCUUAUAGCUGAACCAAGGCUUUACAUGCCAUAAAUGUCUGUGCUUUAAAAUACACACCUUUUGAAGA